Saccostrea cuccullata (small rock oyster) is the source of this 1187-nucleotide long non-coding RNA. RefSeq lists it as uncharacterized. The transcript has 7 exons. The record is from RefSeq and is a predicted model, not a curated record. Lineage: Eukaryota; Metazoa; Mollusca; Bivalvia; Ostreida; Ostreidae.
AAUCAAAAUGAACAAAUGUAGUUCUAUGUAUGAUGUAUAUAGAGACAAUAAUAUUUCUUUUCUUUUUUCAUUUUCAGGAACUUUACGUAGGUCUACAGUUUUAAUUUUGGACUCAUGCACUAGGAAUAUCAUAUCAGCAGAAUUGUGCCACUGAAUCAAAGGGAACUCUUUUUUUUUUAGGAGUAGCCUCCCCUUUUAAAGAUCCAAAAUGGUGAUUUUACAGUGCGGCAUGCAGUCUGGUCAUCAACGAAGAGUUUUGACACCUGUAAUACCCAUAUUUCUACCAUUCACCUCUGUAACCUUUGUUAAGUUCAUCAGACUGUCCAAGACAGGAAGUUGAGGAAUAAAGUUGACAGGACAUCCUGAACUGUCCUUGCUACCAGCUUAUGAGGGAACCAGCUGCAGUGGACAAAGUACGUUACAUCAUAGGAUAAUAGCAUUGAAUUGGAUUCUUGAACCAGAGCCAUGUGAACCUGGUCCACCUGUACCUCUCAUUGAAGACCUGUUAACAUCACCAGAGUAUGUUCAUUCUGAUACCCCUAUGGUAUGGUUACAGCAUGCAUUAUCCCUGAAUCCAUUAAAAGAGCUGCAUUGGCAACGAAACAACCCAAUGUGGUCGAUUGUAAGGAAAUAUAGCAUAUCAGCUUCCAACUUUGGUGCAGUUCUGAGUUCUAAGCAAAGGCGAUUGACAUUGUCACUGAAGAAACAGCUGAUGUCGGCUUACAAUCUGGAGUCCAUCAAGGCUGUUGCAUGGGGUAUCACUCAUGAAGAUGAUGCUUUGAGAAAGUAUGAAAAGGAAUUUGAUGCAGCUGUAGAGCAGUCAGGAUAUGGUUGCAUGAAUCCGGAGUGUUGGAGCUUCACCUGAUGGCUUAGUUGUUCGACCACCAACAUGCAGUGUAUUUUAUCAAACCCCAGAAGCCAAAGACGCCAUUCCUGAUAUUGUAGAGGUGAAGUGUCCAUAUACAGCAUUGUCUUCAACAGUAGCAGAUGGGGCACAAAAUUUGAAGGAUUUUUCAUAGAUCUUAAACAAGAUACCCUGUGCCUGAAAACCAGUCACCCAUACUAUCAUCAAAUUCAAGGCCAGCUACACAUGUAAUAAAACAUUCUGCGACUUAAUUGUGUGGACAAGAGUAGACUGCAUUGUGAUUAGAAUAGUAAAAGACAUUGAAUGACAGCAAAUGUUCCAA